This 346-nucleotide unclassified non-coding RNA is filed under the name soil metagenome. RNAcentral's name for it is "partial contains 5.8S ribosomal RNA, internal transcribed spacer 2, and large subunit ribosomal RNA". The stretch from base 1 to 120 matches the Rfam family "5.8S ribosomal RNA", at positions 35 to 154 of the family's 154-position model. The record is from RNAcentral.
GAUGAAGAACGUAGCGAAAUGCGAUACGUAAUGUGAAUUGCAGAAUUCAGUGAAUCAUCGAGUCUUUGAACGCACAUUGCGCCCCCUGGUAUUCCGGGGGGCAUGCCUGUUCGAGCGUCAUUGCUGCCCUCAAGCCCGGCUUGUGUGUUGGGUCUCGUCCCCCUUCCCGGGGGGACGGGCCCGAAAGGCAGCGGCGGCACCGCGUCCGGUCCUCGAGCGUAUGGGGCUUUGUCACCCGCUCUGUAGGCCCGGCCGGCGCUUGCCGAUCAACCAAAACUUUUUUCCAGGUUGACCUCGGAUCAGGUAGGGAUACCCGCUGAACUUAAGCAUAUCAAUAAGCGGAGGA